This 484-nucleotide ribosomal RNA is filed under the name uncultured bacterium. Its description in RNAcentral is "partial 16S ribosomal RNA". It matches the Rfam family "Bacterial small subunit ribosomal RNA", at positions 30 to 507 of the family's 1533-position model. The record is from RNAcentral.
AUUGAACGCUGGCGGCAGGCCUAACACAUGCAAGUCGAGCGGAUGAAGGGAGCUUGCUCCUGGAUUCAGCGGCGGACGGGUGAGUAAUGCCUAGGAAUCUGCCUCGUAGUGGGGGGUAACGUCCGGAAACGGGCGCUAAUACCGCAUACGUCCUGAGGGAGAAAGUGGGGGGUCUUCGGACCUCACGCUAUCAGAUGAGCCUAGGUCGGGUUAGCUAGUUUGUGGGGUAAAGGCCUACCUAGGCGACGAUCCGUAACUGGUCUGAGAGGAUGAUCAGUCACACUGGAGCUUAGACACGGUCAAGACUACUGCGGGAGGCAGCAGUCGGCAAUGUGGGACAGCGGGCGAAAGCCUGAUCCAGCCAUGCCGCGUGUGUGAAGAAGGUCUUCGGAUUGUAAAGCACUUUUAGUGGGGAGGAACGGCAGUAAGUUAAUACCUAGCUGGUGUGACGGUAACGACAGAAUAAGCACCGGCUAACUUCGUG